Non-coding RNA from Amazona aestiva (blue-fronted amazon), 187 nucleotides. Lineage: Eukaryota; Metazoa; Chordata; Aves; Psittaciformes; Psittacidae. The record is from Rfam.
AUGGCUUCACAGCCUUUUGGCUAAAAUCAAGUGUAGUGUCUGUUCUUACCAGUUUAACAUCUGAUAUGAUGAGAGGACUUUAUAUUAAAUGGCUUUUUGGCACUAGGAGUUGGAGCCAGAGCUUGCUCCCUUUUUUUGAACCUGAUGAUCUUAAAGGUCUUUUCCAACCUAGUUGAUUCUAAGAUCC